This 143-nucleotide ribosomal RNA is filed under the name uncultured eukaryote. RNAcentral describes it as "partial 18S ribosomal RNA". It matches the Rfam family "Eukaryotic small subunit ribosomal RNA", at positions 1299 to 1458 of the family's 1831-position model. The record is from RNAcentral.
UGGUGGAGUGAUUUGUCUGCUUAAUUGCGUUAACGAACGAGACCUCGACCUACUAAAUAGUUCGGCGAACGGUUCGCCCGUUCGUGCGAUACUUCUUAGAGGGACUAUUGGUUCGAAACCAAUGGAAGUUCGAGGCAAUAACA